CUGAGAGCUCAGUGCCCCUCCAGGAGGGAGGGAAAAGCCACAGGCAGCCUUGUUUUCUUCUCAUUAGAAACCAAGUCCUAGCCCAGCAGAGGCACAUUCCAUAGGGGCUGGUUGGGUUUGAGUGGAGGCUGGAGCGCAGAAACAUUUUGGGUCCCCCUUCUUGCCUUCCUAUAACAAAAUCUCAGCAGUUGCUUAAAUCUCAGGAGGCCUGGGAUGAAACACCACCCAGGCCUGGCUGGACAGGAACAGACACAUGCCUGGAGCCCAAAUGCGACUCCAGGCUUUUAAGAGCUUGGCAUGACCCCAGUUAAGCAAUUCUGGAAUCCACAGAGACUCUCGCUUGACUCCCCUCUCCCCACACCCACUCUCCCGAGACCUUCCUGGAAAAAGCAAUGCAGGAUUGGCAACCACCUCGUGCUUCCUUUUUUCUGCCAGCCGUCUGUAUUUCCAAAGGAAUCAGGCCCUAAGCCUAACCACAGUGCUCAGUAAAUGGAGGCUGCUUUCUGAUUCUUUAAGCGACCUUACAGCAGGCAGCCAGCUCUUCCCCCCUCACUACAUGAAAGAGAGAGAAAAAGAGAGAGCGAGAGUGUGUGUGUGUGUGUGUGUGUGUUUCCUUUAAGGCAACACAAGAAGAAUUUGAUGUUUGGUUAGAUCUUACUAUUAUAUUUUAAAUGUCAUCUUUUAAGAGUCUUUUUUUUUUCCCUAGUUUCUAAGAUUCACUUUGCCUUUGGAUGGAAACUGUCUGCUGGAAAGACAGAGCUGCGCUGUGAAGGAGAGUGAAGCUAAGGCACGCUUAACAACGGCAGGCUCAAGUCAGAGUUAUGAAGCAAGAUCAGUCCCUGGGGUACAGAGAGUGAUACAUAGCAUCUGAUCUACCCUGGAAGACUGACAAGGCUGAUCCCAUCUCAGCAGAAUCUAAAUCGAGAAUAUGGCAGAAUAUCAUUGCUUUUGCCAGAACAACCAGAUGAAGAACAAAAAGUGAAUGUGCUCCAUUCCCUCAUGAGGCUUCUGAAGCUUUCCUUAUGAUCUGAUCACAACAAAGGAGACAGGCAACUGACAAAUAGCACGCUGGUCCUGAAACACUGCUGGCAUCUUUGUCAUCAGCCUUCCUGGCCCUUACAGAGAGAUCUGCAUUCAGCGCUCCAGCAAGGAACAGACACACAAAACUUCAGCCUCUCUCUUAAUAAGUCCUUGAUUUACUUGUCUCAAGGUAAGAGGACAGUGGUGGUAGGUUGAGAUUUUUCAGAGGUUGGAGUGAUGGCUUUCCAGCUCUUGUGUGUGGAUUACUAGGGUAAACCCAGAAGCAAGGAGUUUUAAACCAGCACCUCAGAUGAUUUAGAUGAAGAUGCAGGUGAGCAUCUUCAUAGGAUUAUCAGCUCGAAACCAGCUGUGCCAAUUUCCUGCUGGGAAACCUGGGGAGCUGGGAAAAGCAGAAAACUUAUCAAGCUCUGGUAAGAGUGAACUAAUUAUAAGUGUUGGUUGGACGCAGGAAAAUGUUUCCUUGGUGGGCUUGUGAGUACCUGGAAAAUUUCACGAGUGGCAGUGUACCUACUUCUCUGGAAUUUCCUGAAAAAUGGGAUCCUAAAAAUAGGCUGAGAAUUGGUCCAUGCGUCCUUUUCUUUUCUUAAAUCACCUUUUAAGUCACUGAUAAAAAUUUUAUUUUUAUUCAUUUAUUAUGUAUUUUGGAUUCAGGAGGUACAUGUGCAGGCUUGUUACACUGGUAUACUGUGUAAUGCUAAGGUUUGACGUACAGAUGGUCCCAUCACCCAAGUGUCAGCAUAGUACCCGAUAGGUAGUUUUUCAGCUCACACCCCCUCCCUCUUCUCCUAGGAGUCCCCUAUAUGUCCUUCAUAUACAUAUUGUCAGCUCUGUAUUUCUGCCCUGUGUGUAAUUUUCAUACUUCACAUUCCACCCUAAGGUGUGGAGCUCUUAAGGGUGGGAAAAUUCUGUUCAUUAUUGGCAUCCUUAGCCUGGUUCCCCAUGAGCUGACUCCAAUGUACUUACCUAGUUUCAUAGUCUGCUUCGCUGCCCACC
Molecule: non-coding RNA, 2034 nt
Organism: Macaca mulatta (Rhesus monkey)
Lineage: Eukaryota; Metazoa; Chordata; Mammalia; Primates; Cercopithecidae
Source: RefSeq, a predicted model, not a curated record